UACGUAGGGGGCAAGCGUUAUCCGGAAUCACUGGGUGUAAAGGGAGCGUAGACGGCUGAGCAAGCCUGAAGUGAAAGGCCGGGGCCCAACCCCGGGACUGCUCUGGAAACUAUUGAACUUGAGUGCAGGAGAGGUAAGCGGAAUUCCUAGUGUAGCGGUGAAAUGCGUAGAUAUUAGGAGGAACACCAGUGGCGAAGGCGGUCUGCUGGACAGCAACUGACGCUGAGGCGCGAAAGCGUGGGGAGCAAACAGG
Molecule: ribosomal RNA, 253 nt
Filed under: uncultured Eubacteriales bacterium
Lineage: Bacteria; Bacillati; Bacillota; Clostridia; Eubacteriales
Description: uncultured Clostridiales bacterium partial 16S ribosomal RNA
Rfam family: Bacterial small subunit ribosomal RNA
Source: RNAcentral